CUGUGACCGAUGGUAUCCUCAAUAUCUGUCAGUCACUACUCAAAGCUCGUCACUUUAGGUGAAAGUGCAAACGUAGACCGACCUAUAAAUCAGUACCUUUGCCUUUUGGCUCCACACUCUCUUCACCAUGACAGACUGGCAAAGAGCUCACGUCACGACGGAAGCUGCAGCACAACCAUUGAUCACCUGCUCCAUUUUUCUCUUAUUCAUUACUAAGAUCCCAACAAGAUCCCAAGAUACUACAACACUUGGGGCAGGACCUUUUUGCGGCCCAAGCUCACGGUCUCAGAUUUGGAGGAUUUUCAUCUUGGUCGCUAUGGACUCGACUACAGAAUGCUCCAGUGAAACCUGGAGACUGUAAUUUUAUGAAGCCAACAGAACCACAUCAUCUGUGAAAAGGAGAAACCUGAUAGUGAGGCCACCAAAAUGGAACCCUUCAACAACUUGGCUGAAAUUCUGCGUCUUAAGAUUUUGAGAAACUCUGAACAAAAUCGAUGACAAAGUGCAACCUUGGUGGAGUCUAACUCAGUGUUGACUAGUGUUUAACACCAGUUGUACAGCAACCUAACAGCCCUUAUCAAGGGGCCUUGUACUCUAGACUCCUAAAGUACCCACCACAGGACACGGUCAAACUCCGUCCCCAAGUCCACAAAGUACAUGUAGACCGGUUAGGCGGACUCCCAGGUACCGUCAAGGACGUUGUGGCGGGUGUAGAGUUGGCCCAGUGUUUCACAACCAGGAUGGAAACCACAGUGUGGUUCCUGAGGCCAAGACUUGACUGUCCGGCUGAGUUUUCGUCUUCAGAAUCCCUGGACAGACCUUACCUGGGACGCUUCGGUGUGGAAUUGCACUGUAGUUGGAAUACACCUUACACUCACAAUGAAACAAACACAUUAACAUUUAAAAUUUGCCCAUCAUAAUUCUCAUAUAAAUUUGUAUUUUUUUAAAAGCUAUUUUUUUAAGGUGCAUUCAAAUGAGAAAUAAGCCAUAUCCUCACUCACAUGUUAUUGCAAACAACAAAUAAAAAUGAUGGCAGCUUGUUUUCUGCAGAUUUUGUCCUAUCAUUUUAAGCUGUCAGUUCUAAGAAGCGUUGUUAUGACAACACACCGGAGCUGUCCAUGGACUCCAACCCCUGGCAGGCCGCCGUGUCCGUCACAGACUCUGUGACUGCCGCCGCUUCCUGUCUCACUCUGACUGCUCAGCCCGGUUUCUGGAAAGGCCGUCCAAAUGCGGGAAGUGCACAACUACACGGAAUUCCCAGAUGACCCCUUUGUUUCCCAGCCGAUGCGACCCCCUUAGCCUCGGCUUGGACCGCUUCCAAACAUCCGAGUGCGACUUUCCUUCGUCCCUCUCCUCCGCCGCCUCUUCAUUUUGACACCGUGUUUCAAACUCUGAGGUGGCAUCGUUCAAAUUCAAAGUACAGAACAGCCCAAACCUCGGGGCGUUUAUGCGCUUCUUGCUUCUUCAUC
Poecilia latipinna (sailfin molly) is the source of this 1469-nucleotide long non-coding RNA. RefSeq lists it as uncharacterized. NCBI's taxonomy places the organism in Eukaryota, Metazoa, Chordata, Actinopteri, Cyprinodontiformes, Poeciliidae. The record is from RefSeq and is a predicted model, not a curated record. The transcript is spliced from 2 exons.